This 403-nucleotide ribosomal RNA is filed under the name Verrucomicrobiota bacterium. RNAcentral describes it as "Verrucomicrobia bacterium partial 16S ribosomal RNA". It matches the Rfam family "Bacterial small subunit ribosomal RNA", at positions 355 to 776 of the family's 1533-position model. The record is from RNAcentral. Lineage: Bacteria; Pseudomonadati; Verrucomicrobiota.
UGGGGAAUCUUGCACAAUGGGCGCAAGCCUGAUGCAGCAACGCCGCGUGAACGAUGAAGUUCUUCGGAUCGUAAAGUUCUGUUGCAGGGGAAGAUAAUGACGGUACCCUGUGAGGAAGCCCCGGCUAACUACGUUCCAGCAGCCGCGGUAAUACGUAGGGGGCUAGCGUUAUUCGGAUUUACUGGGCGUAAAGGGUGCGUAGGUGGUCUUUCAAGUCGGUGGUUAAAGGCUACGGCUCAACCGUAGUUAGCCUCCGAAACUGGAAGACUUGAGUGCAGGAGAGGAAAGUGGAAUUCCCAGUGUAGCGGUGAAAUGCGUAGAUAUUGGGAGGAACACCAGUAGCGAAGGCGGCUUUCUGGACUACAACUGACACUGAGGCACGAAAGCGUGGGUAGCAAACAGG